CUCAUGUUUAUAAACCACAUUCAUUCAUGUUCUUUCUCUCUCUUACCCUUACUCUUCCAUCAAGAUUUGAGCUUGGAUUGAUUGAGGAAGUUUACAGAAGGCACUUCCAGCAACUGGAUUAUCUUCUUAUGAAGCCAUUAUCACUUACAAGACUCUUGGGAACUGAGGUCUCAUUAAGUGUGCAAGAUUUUUAAUAAACUCUUCAAUGAAGGGAGAGAAAAUGAAUACCUAAUCCUCUGUAUUCAAACUGGUACUUUAGAACUUCUUAAAAAAUAAAACAGGAAUAAAAUGAUUAUUAUUUUUAAGACCCAUGUCUGGGGGCGCCUGGGUGGCUCAGUGGUUAAGCCUCUGCCUUCGGCUCAGGUCAUGAUCUCAGGGUCCUGGGAUCCAGCCCUGCAUCGGGCUCUCUGCUCAGCAGGGAGCCUGCUUCC
Molecule: long non-coding RNA, 431 nt
Filed under: Mustela putorius furo (domestic ferret)
Lineage: Eukaryota; Metazoa; Chordata; Mammalia; Carnivora; Mustelidae
Description: lncRNA (ENSMPUG00000024801.1)
Source: RNAcentral